This 311-nucleotide small nuclear RNA is filed under the name Erinaceus europaeus (western European hedgehog). Its description in RNAcentral is "7SK RNA". It matches the Rfam family "7SK RNA". Rfam says of the family: 7SK was discovered as an abundant small nuclear RNA in the mid-70s but a possible function has only recently been suggested. Two independent studies have found that 7SK RNA binds the CDK9/cyclin T complex (known as elongation factor P-TEFb). Lineage: Eukaryota; Metazoa; Chordata; Mammalia; Eulipotyphla; Erinaceidae. The record is from Rfam by way of RNAcentral.
GGAUGUGAGGGCGAUCUGGCUGCGACAUCUGUCACCCCAUUGAUUGCCAGGGUUGAUUCGGCUGAUCUGGCUGGCUAGGCAGGUGUCCCCUUCCUCCCUCACCGCUCCAUAUGCGUCCCUCCUGAAGCUGCACUCUCAGUCGAAGAGGACGGCCUUCCCUGAACAGAGAUGGACCGGUCUCGGUCGGGGGUGUAUAUAUAUAUGUAGCUGCACUCCCCUGGUAGAACCUCCAAACAAGCUCUCAAGACCAUAGCCUUAACAAGGAAUGAACAAUACUAAUUGCUUCUUUUGCUCAGUCUAGUUUUGUCCUG